UAUUUAUUUCAAGCUAUGUGAGUAUGUUUUACACCAUGCAGGUUUUCUAUAAAAGCUUAUGACAUUGAUUAUUUUAAUUGCACACUCCCUCAUAUGCUCGGUACAUUCCCAAAGUAUUGACCUACAUAUUUUGUCUAUAUGCCAUAUAUUCUCGUAAUGUAGGUUCAGGUGCUCUGUCUCAGCCUCACUAGUGAUUCUUUCGAGCACUCUUAUCUGCAUAUCAGCCGUGGUGGCCAAAAUGGAGAAGGAGAUCACGAAGAAAGAAGUGAUAAAGACAUUGAUCUUACUUAAGAAGAUUUUUGAAUUGUUGAUAUAGAUGCUUUAAUAUCGAUUCUUUUGAUAUUUAAUUUCUUCAAACUUAUCUCCACUCAAACUUGAUGCUUGUGUGGAAAAACUAAUCAUUUGGCUUUGUUUUGGGGUUUAGAUUAAUAGUUUGUUGCAAAUUUAGGAUUAUUAUAAAUGAAAAAAUUUAUUUUGUGAUGUGUGCA
Molecule: long non-coding RNA, 488 nt
Organism: Capsicum annuum
Lineage: Eukaryota; Viridiplantae; Streptophyta; Magnoliopsida; Solanales; Solanaceae
Exons: 2
Source: RefSeq, a predicted model, not a curated record